Molecule: transfer RNA, 74 nt
Filed under: Bacillota bacterium
Lineage: Bacteria; Bacillati; Bacillota
Also listed under: 2 other names
Description: tRNA-Trp
Rfam family: tRNA
About the family: Transfer RNA (tRNA) molecules are approximately 80 nucleotides in length.
Source: RNAcentral
AGGGGUGUCGUACAGUGGUAGUACAACGGUCUCCAAAACCGUGGACGCGGGUUCAAUUCCUGCCACCCCUGCCA